GGGGAAACAAUCCAAUCAGGAGAUUGUUUGGCUAGACCACGGAAUAGCAUCACAUUACCCUGUGACUAGGGUUGAGCAGUCCAACUAGAGGACUAUUGCUCUGCAGCACACACGCCGACAACACAUCGCACAUGCGGCUGAAACAAGUCUUAUGUGUGCAAUCUACCAGUCAAGGGCCUACGGCACACCCCGCCAAGGGUGUCCGGUAUCCUCCCACACGCCGACAACACAUCACACAUAUGGGUAACAUUCGUAUCCAAG
RNAcentral lists this long non-coding RNA (261 nucleotides) under Prunus persica (peach). RNAcentral describes it as "long non-coding RNA (PPER_LNC002125)". The record is from RNAcentral. Lineage: Eukaryota; Viridiplantae; Streptophyta; Magnoliopsida; Rosales; Rosaceae.